UUUUCUCAUCCUCCCAAUCCAUGUUUGCACAAUAAAUAUUUUCAUAAACAAUAUCUUUUGCAACAGUUUGUGAAAAGGGUUCCCUAGGAGUACCUAGGAUGCAUUGGGUGCCUAACACCUUCCCUUUGCAUAAUUACCCCCUUACCCAGAUCUCUGACCUUUCAUUAGUUUUCUAUGUGUAAAACUUCUUAGGCUUUUGU
RNAcentral lists this long non-coding RNA (200 nucleotides) under Lathyrus oleraceus (garden pea). Its description in RNAcentral is "Pisum sativum (pea) long non-coding RNA (PSAT_LNC005746)". The record is from RNAcentral. Lineage: Eukaryota; Viridiplantae; Streptophyta; Magnoliopsida; Fabales; Fabaceae.